This 73-nucleotide transfer RNA is filed under the name Felis catus (domestic cat). It matches the Rfam family "tRNA". From Rfam's summary of the family: Transfer RNA (tRNA) molecules are approximately 80 nucleotides in length. Their secondary structure includes four short double-helical elements and three loops (D, anti-codon, and T loops). Further hydrogen bonds mediate the characteristic L-shaped molecular structure. tRNAs have two regions of fundamental functional importance: the anti-codon, which is responsible for specific mRNA codon recognition, and the 3' end, to which the tRNAs corresponding amino acid is attached (by aminoacyl-tRNA synthetases). tRNAs cope with the degeneracy of the genetic code in two manners: having more than one tRNA (with a specific anti-codon) for a particular amino acid; and 'wobble' base-pairing, i.e. permitting non-standard base-pairing at the 3rd anti-codon position. The record is from Rfam by way of RNAcentral. Lineage: Eukaryota; Metazoa; Chordata; Mammalia; Carnivora; Felidae.
GUCUGGCUGGCUCAGUCAGUGGAGCACGUGACUCUUGAUCUUGGGACUGUGGGUUAGAGCCCCAUGUUAAGUG